This 443-nucleotide ribosomal RNA is filed under the name uncultured bacterium. RNAcentral describes it as "partial 16S ribosomal RNA". It matches the Rfam family "Bacterial small subunit ribosomal RNA", at positions 338 to 795 of the family's 1533-position model. The record is from RNAcentral.
CCUACGGGUGGCAGCAGUGGGGAAUAUUGGGCAAUGGAGGAAACUCUGACCCAGCAACGCCGCGUGAAUGAUGAAGGUCUUCGGAUUGGAAAGUUCUUUUCUAAGGGAAGAAGAAAGUGACGGUACCUUAGGAAUAAGCCUCGGCUAACUACGUGCCAGCAGCCGCGGUAAUACGUAGGAGGCAAGCGUUAUCCGGAAUGAUUGGGCGUAAAGGGUGCGUAGGUGGUUCAGCAAGUUAGUAGCGUAAUUGCGGAGCUCAACUUCGGCACUACUACUAAAACUGGUGGACUUGAGUGCAGGAGGGGCAACUGGAAUUUCUAGUGUAGCGGUGGAAUGCGUAGAUAUGAGGAAGAACACCGGUGGCGAAGGCGAGUUGCUGGACUGUAACUGACACUGAGGCACGAAAGCGUGGGGAGCAAACAGGAUUAGAUACCCUUGUAGUC